AGCUCCAAUAGCGUAUAUUAAAGUUGUUGCAGUUAAAAAGCUCGUAGUUGGAUUUUGGGCUCAUCGUGGGAGGUCCGUCUUCGUUGAUGUGUACCGCCCGCGGGUGCUUUUCCUUCUCGUUGCGUGCGCGUGCCAUUAAUUUGGUGCGCGACUGCGCACGGGAUCGUUUACUUUGAAAAAAUUAGAGUGUUCAAAGCAGGCCCAAUGCGGCCGUUGAAUAUUUCAGCAUGGGAUAAUAGAAUAGGACUUGUAUCUUAUUUUGUUGGUUUUCAAGAGACAGGUAAUGAUUAAAAGGGAUAGUUGGGGAUAUUAGUAUUGUGAAGUCAGAGGUGAAAUUCAUGGAUUUUCACAAGACUAACUUCUGCGAAAGCAUUUAUCAAGGAUGUUUUCAUUAAUCAAG
This 400-nucleotide ribosomal RNA is filed under the name phytoplankton environmental sample. Its description in RNAcentral is "partial small subunit ribosomal RNA". It matches the Rfam family "Eukaryotic small subunit ribosomal RNA", at positions 587 to 981 of the family's 1831-position model. The record is from RNAcentral.